Long non-coding RNA from Aethalodelphis obliquidens (Pacific white-sided dolphin), 2149 nucleotides. RefSeq lists it as uncharacterized. The transcript has 4 exons. Lineage: Eukaryota; Metazoa; Chordata; Mammalia; Artiodactyla; Delphinidae. The record is from RefSeq and is a predicted model, not a curated record.
AUCGGCAGGCGGACUCCCAACCACUGUGCCACCAGGGAAGCCCCCUGUGACUUUUUUGAGCCUGUCUUGCAGGAUUAUUUGACUUUUAAACUCCGCGUGUAUACACCUUUCAUUUGUUUGUUGAGAUUAAAAACUGCAGAGCGUCUGGUUCCACGUGUAAGGAGGCUGGGAGUCCCCACUCCGUCUCAACAACAAGUAAAAGCUGAGCAGCCCGAAAAAUCAGCAGCUCUUCUUGGAUCUGUAAGAGAGUGGAGGAAGCAGAGCAAACCGCUGCCUCCAGGGUUGGAGAGACGAGCGAAUACAAGGAGUCCCGGCUGCCGCAGCAGAGACUCAGGAGCGGAAACCUCGUGGGAACCAGUGUCGAGGUAGGAAAACAGGAACUGCAGCUGACAAAUUGCUGCAGGCUCCAUGUGGACAAGUCUGAGGGUUAAAACCUCCAGGGGGUCCAGUCAUAAGGGGGUCCCCACACUACAUGGUGGUAUUUCUCUCCAGGAGCUUGACCAGAUUCCCACAGUGAAUACUGGAGAAGGAUCCCCUCGGGUUUCCAGCCGGGGAAGAGGAACCAGAACCGUUGUGAAAUAAGCCAGAGUACUUUGUUUUUCUUUGCAAGGCCUGACCUCAGGGCAACGAGUUAGCCAGAGCCUCACUGCUGGGGUGUUAUCAGAGCCUAACUGACCUGGGGAUGGGAAAUAACCAACUCCAGCCAUCCUGUGCACCUAAGGGAGGAGAAAAAACUGAGAAGCGUUUGUGAAGUUCACAGUCCAGAGACAUAGGCUCAUUGAAAGACAGACCUAAUCACAGGACUAUAGAAUGCUUCCCCUCCCCCAACUCCUAACCACAUUACUAAAGGCCCACUUGUAGCAUUUCCUUUUACCCAGUACAUCAUGUCCAACUAGCAAGAAGAAAUCAACGAGGCGUACCAGAAGGCAGAAAACAUAGUUUGAAGAGACAAAGCAGCCAUCAGAACCAGACAUAGCAGGAAUGUUGGAAUUAUCAGCCCAGGAAUUUAAAACAACUCCAAUUAAUAUGCUAAGGACUCCAAUGCAUAAAACAGCAUGUAAGAACAGAUGGGCAGUGGAAGCAGAGAGAUGGUAAUACUAAAAAGAACCAAAAAGAAAUGCUAGAGAUCAAAAAACACUGUAACAGAAAUGAAGAACGCCUUUGAUGGGCUUGUUAGUAGACUGGAUACAGCUGAGGAAAAACAGCUCUGAUCAAUAGAAUCCUCAAACACCAAAAAGCAAAGAGAAGACUGAAAAAAGCGACAACAUAAUAUACAAGGACUGUGGGAAGACUAAAAAAGGUGUAAUACACACGUAAUUGGGAAUACCAGGAGGAGGAGGAAAAGGAACAGAAGAAAUGUUUGAAAUGAUGAUGACUGAGAAUUUCUGCAAGUCGAUAUCAGACAUCAAGUCACAGAUCCAGGCAGCUCAGAGAACACCAAGCAAGAUAAAUAGCCCCCCAAAAACUACAACUUGGCGUAUCAUCUUAAAAUUACAGAAAAUCAAAACUAAAGAAAAAAUCCUGAAAGAAGCUAGACAAAAAAGCAGCUUUCCUAUAGAGAAACAGAUAAGAAUCAUGUCCAAAUUCUUUGCAGAAACCAUGCAAGCAAGAAGAGAGUGAUGUGAAAUAUUUAAAGGAUUGAGAGAAAAAAACUCACCAACUUCGAUUUCUGUACCCAGAGAAAUAAAGAAUUUCUCAAACAAAAACUGAACAAAUUUGCCAAGGUACCUGCCUUGCAAGAAAUGUGAGAAGUCUUUUAAGAGAGAAGGAAAAUAAUACAGGUCAGAAACUCAGAUCUACAUGAAGAAAGGAAGAGCAUCAAAGAAGGGAUAAAUGAAGGAAAAUCAGAAAGUUUGGGGGACCUAAAAUGUCAUCUCACUUGACUUGUGAAUGCACAGAAGAGCCUGGAGCAGACAGAGGACAGACAGAAGCUGUGGCAGACACCAUUGGUUGAUGCUGUAACAAGGUGCUGAGCCCCAGGGAAUGAAUCACGCUUGUUCUAAACCAGCCAAGACUGUGAUCAGUGAAAAAGACCUUUCAAAAGAAUGAAGAGUGUCGGGGGCUUCCCUGGUGGCACAGUGGUUAAGAAUCCGCCUGCCAGUGCAGGGGAUACGGGUUCGAACCCUGGUCCCGGAAGAUCCCACAUGCC